GGGGGGGUUUUGAAAGGUUUGUGGUGAAUACGGAUGAAUUAAAUCAAAACACUGACGCAAACAGAUAACUGAACACAGAUAUAAAAACGGUUUCAAAGACAGAAUGGAAAUUGUUGGUCAUUAACUUAAUUACAAUGCUUCCUAUCACAGAUCAACAAAAUAAGGCCGACUCAACCUCUAAUCCAACACAAUUAAUCAACUAAGCGCAGN
This 210-nucleotide long non-coding RNA is filed under the name Vigna radiata. Its description in RNAcentral is "long non-coding RNA (VRAD_LNC004818)". Lineage: Eukaryota; Viridiplantae; Streptophyta; Magnoliopsida; Fabales; Fabaceae. The record is from RNAcentral.